Molecule: ribosomal RNA, 253 nt
Filed under: uncultured bacterium
Lineage: Bacteria
Description: partial 16S ribosomal RNA
Rfam family: Bacterial small subunit ribosomal RNA
Source: RNAcentral
UACGUAGGUGGCAAGCGUUAUCCGGAUUUACUGGGCGUAAAGAGCGCGCAGGCGGUCUGAUCAGUCGAAUGUGAAAGCCCCCGGCUCAACUGGGGAGGGUCAUUCGAUACUGUCCGACUCGAAGGCAGGAGAGGGAAGCGGAAUUCCCGGUGUAGUGGUGAAAUGCGUAGAUAUCGGGAGGAACACCAGUGGCGAAGGCGGCUUUCUGGCCUGUUCUUGACGCUGAGGCGCGAAAGCUUGGGGAGCGAACGGG